This 484-nucleotide ribosomal RNA is filed under the name uncultured bacterium. RNAcentral describes it as "partial 16S ribosomal RNA". It matches the Rfam family "Bacterial small subunit ribosomal RNA", at positions 30 to 507 of the family's 1533-position model. The record is from RNAcentral.
AUUGAACGCUGGCGGCAGGCCUAACACAUGCCAGUCGAGCGGAUGAAGGGAGCUUGCUCCUGGAUUCAGCGGCGGACGGGUGAGUAAUGCCUAGGAAUCUGCCUGGUAGUGGGGGAUAACGUCCGGAAACGGGCGCUAAUACCGCAUACGUCCUGAGGGAGAAAGUGGGGGAUCUUCGGACCUCACGCUAUCAGAUGAGCCUAGGUCGGAUUAGCUAGUUGGUGGGGUAAAGGCCUACCAAGGCGACGAUCCGUAACUGGUCUGAGAGGAUGAUCAGUCACACUGGAACUGAGACACGGUCCAGACUCCUACGGGAGGCAGCAGUGGGGAAUAUUGGUCAAUGGGCGAAAGCCUGAUCCAGCCAUGCCGCGUGUGUGAAGAAGGUCUUCGGAUUGUAAAGCACUUUAAGUUGGGAGGAAGGGCGGUAAGUUAAUACCUUGCUGUUUUGACGUUACCAACAGAAUAAGCACCGGCUGACUUCGUG